Molecule: long non-coding RNA, 3653 nt
Filed under: Venturia canescens
Lineage: Eukaryota; Metazoa; Arthropoda; Insecta; Hymenoptera; Ichneumonidae
Description: uncharacterized LOC122415518
Source: RNAcentral
GAGAACGGUGGCCUGAGCAGAGGCCAACUUAGCGGUGGACGGAAGGCCAGUGCCGCGUGUACGUGCAGAGGUCCCACCAUCGGCCCAAUGCUACAGGCAAGCCAGACUGAGAGAGAAAUGUAGAGGGGGGAGGUAACUGGGUCAAGCCAUGAAACUGGGUCAAUAUGCUUGUGAAGAGGACCUCGACGGUGCACGAGUCUUUGGUAAUAUGAAACCACCCCCAUAGCCCGCACACAUCGAUACCUGGAGCCCCAUCGAGCGAGGAUUCCUCGUGGCUUCUUAUGGAAAGCUUAGAGUUUUUUCUGUGUUCUCGAUUAUUCUCUCAUUUGCUUGGGCUUCUUCCUCGUCACUCCUGCUGGAUUGGACUUUUGUUUCGCUCGCUUUUUUACGUUCAUUUUUUACACAUGUAGAAAGCUUCCUCCGAGAUUUUCCUUUUAUCCGCAUGUAUCUUCGCUCCUCGAUGGAGAGAGGAAAUUCUCUUUGCCUUAUACUUGAUAAAACUCUGUACAAGCUCCGGCAAAGAGACAUGUGCAUCAUCGGAUAGCAAGGUCCACAGACGCGGUAUUACUGGCAAACGUAUAUAGCCGGGGAAAGCUCUUAAAGGUUCGAGAAAAUGCUCCUUUCACGAUCGUCACUGUGUCUUCCGAUUUAACUCUAUUUUCUUUUCCUCUCAACUCCACCACUUUUUCUCACUCCGGGAUACUUUACGCUCCGAGUAAAUUGACGGUAUUUUCUCUUUUGACGUAUACAUCGAGCCACUCUCUGCGACAAAUUUACUCACUCUGUUUAUUAACACCACCUUUUUGGGACUGUUCUUAGCUCGGUUUUUUAUUCGAGCGAUAAACGAGGGGCUAGCACGGAGAAAAAUGCUGAAACAACAGUCUUUCGCUCGCGAUGGUUAAACGCUCGAAAAAUUGAGGUUUUGUGGCUCGAGUUCCGACGUUCCGACUAGUUGAAAUUAUUUGUUAAGAGAUCUCAAAUGCACGGACAUCAUUAAACGACUUUCGGUAUCGCGUGCUGAGAAACAUUUGAACAAUCGUUCAACGUUUGUCAACGAAACUAAAUGACGUUUGAUAUUCUCUCUGCGUCCACUUCGAACUACGCGUUUGCCAGCUAUAUUGUAUACUAGAAAACAGAGAAACGAUUUAAUGGAGCAUCCAGCGGAGCGUACGCUCGAUAUUGACAGGUAUGAAACAGGACACAGCUACACCGCACCGCUGUUUAGCGCGGUGAAUGAGGCGUGCUUUUUCGUGCCCCACAUUAUUCUGUUUACAGGCAUAAAGCGUUUGAUAAAUAUGGGAGACAAAUGACACUGUACGGAGAGUAUGAAUCUUGCACCAGAGGUUGCUCAAAUAUCAUCAACGUUCGUACUCCGUUGUGUGCUUCGAUGGAAAAAAGAGAAAAGUAGAGAGAAAGCUCAGGGGGGAGAAUUAAUGUAAGAACAUUUGCCAGGCCAUGAGGACGUUCGAUCGACCCUCGCGUGGGAGAGCCUCGGUCUCCCUGUGGCGGUGUUUUCCUCCAGGGAACAUUGUUGGCUUUCCCCGAAAUUCUCCAACACCGGCGCACACUCGCUUCUGUGCGUAACGAGUUUUUGCGCCAGCCAAGUCACAAAGUUCCACGUCCACAGAGUAAACGCGUUCGUUGCUAUUGAUGCGGCGAGCAGCGUAAACUCUUGGACGAAGGGACGACGGGGAUAAUGAAAACAGAGCGGAGGGACGAGACUUCCACUCCAUAUUGGACUCUGCUAAUAUUUAUCCGAGAGCGUGAACGGAGACGAGGUAACUGCGAGGGAAAAUAAAAGAGAUGUUGUCAAUGGAGGAGCCAGUGUAAAAACCUAUUUAAGCUCACUCCCGCUCGGCCAUUGCGAAUAUCCGAACAACCUUUUCUCAUCCCCGAUGGGAUUCCUUCUGUAUACAUUCCAGCUCCAUCAUCUGACCGGAAUUUCAUUGAUGUUGUUUCCCCACUGACACGAUGCUUGGUCGAGUCCUUCCUCUCCGUUCCUGGCUCCCGUGAACCCAUAUGAACCCACGAACACAGCCGAAAGACUCUUCGUCGAGGUCGUUGCCGUCGGGCCCACUUCGGAACCUCGGUCAGACUCGUUCCCUCGAUUUCGAGACGUUCUCUACAUCCAAGCAGCCACUGAAUCUCGAAUCAGUUGGAAUAACGCGUCGAGCGCGACGACCAGAGACAGUCACCUCGAUCCGAGUCGACACGUGCGACCACGUACCUGAGAUUCAACGCAAUACGCAUUCAUGGACAUUUACAUGCGCACAGUUUAUUGUCAUGAGCCACACCUGGAACUCGUCCUCCGCGUUACGAGCCUACCUGCAAGCCCAACACGCGUGCUCGCAUUAAACCGCAUUUGUGAAUCCAGAACGAAGAGAGCCGAACGCACGAAGGCAAGAGGAAGGCUUCUGACGCUCAAACUCUGCAGCAACGUCAACUUCGUAACGAUGCUCCCAACACACCGAAACUCCGAACUUAAUAACUCUAAGCAAUUCACGUGCAAAAUAGUACGCAAGUUAUACGUGUGCAAUAAUGUCAUAAGCAAUGGAGCAUCCCGAUGACGACGUUAUACGAGGCCCCUUUUGACAGGCUCGCAGUGAAUUCUCUGACCACCAGCUACAACCACUAUAUCGGAAGCUGGCGCGGGAGCUCGCACCCAUUAUUCCCGAUCGAGAGAAACGUACACACACGCGUCCACACACGCACGCAAGUCCCGAUUUUCCGGACUCCUCGCACAUGCGGAACUCACUGUGAAAGCUCGGCAAUGCAAUUGGAACGGAGUCGCCAAUUGUCCAUGGGUAUUUCCAGUUAAUAUCAUUCCCAUACAAACCACUGGACCGGAGCGAACCACCGGAGAUUAAAUCUUUAGUGCUGAGGAACCAGACGUACGUCGGAGCCUUGAUACCUAAUGGAUUCCCUCAGUAACGUCGUUCAUCACGAUUAUGCAAUCAACGCAACACACAUGCGGAUAAUUUGAUUUGAAAAAUCACGGGCAAACUACCAACGUGGAAUUGCAGCCUCAAAGUCCGAGGAAUGGACGCACUUGGUAACCGAUUCUUCAAGAGUGCGUGGGAGAGCGAAAAACCCGAAGAGAAUCGAACGUGCGAAGCAACCGAUUCCGGUUCCCAUGUGUGGCAAAGUGUUCGGAUGCCGUAACGUUUUCGUUGGAGGUUUAAAUCUCGAUACAUCACGCACGAGUUUUCGUAGAGCCUCAUAAAAAUUCCUCGCAACAGGAAAAAGGGGUGAAAGUUUUUCGUGUGCCUCGAGAAAAAUGGAGCGAAAGUUCGACCGAAUGAUCAUGAUUAUCGAGCAUUUUGCCUUCCGCACCGGUCUCCCUUAAAGGAUAUUCAAAUCCGUAGCACGUUCAUGAUGUUUUCGUGGCUCAGUAUAAUUUGCCUGUUUACGUAAAUUCGUUUUACUCGUCAAGAACAAGUUUGCCAACACAUUUGCAAGUUUCGCUUCGUACACAAGGAUCAUCGUUAUUUACUCGUACAAUGCUCACAACUUUAAGAAAGUUUCUUGUGCACGAGCAGUUCUCAGUGUGUCGGGAAACUGGAUGAUAGUAUAUGCUCGAGACAAGUUAUAGGACCUCUAAUGAACCACGUUAAUAUACGAAUAACAAAGUAGGCGAGAGCAGCGGGAAGAGG